Otolemur garnettii (small-eared galago) is the source of this 295-nucleotide non-coding RNA. The record is from Rfam. NCBI's taxonomy places the organism in Eukaryota, Metazoa, Chordata, Mammalia, Primates, Galagidae.
GCCAAGUGCAACAGUGCACGCCUGUAGUCCUAGCUACUCAAGAGGUUGAGGGAAGAGGAUCACUUCAGCCCAGGAAGUUCUGGUCUGCAAUGAACUAUGCUGAUUACUUGUCUCAGUUCAGCAUCAAUAUGGUGAUCCCUCCAGUAGAGAUACCACCAGAUUACCAAAGGAAGGGUAAACUGGCCCAAGAAGGGAACAGAGCAAGUCAAAGCUGCUGUGCUGACCCACAGUAGGAUCAUGCCUGAAAACAGCCACUGCACUCCAACCUGAGCAACAUAGUGAGACUGUUUCUUAA